This 200-nucleotide ribosomal RNA is filed under the name uncultured prokaryote. RNAcentral's name for it is "partial 16S ribosomal RNA". It matches the Rfam family "Bacterial small subunit ribosomal RNA", at positions 1184 to 1382 of the family's 1533-position model. The record is from RNAcentral.
GUCAAGUCUUCAUGCCCCUUAUAUCCAGGGCUGCAAACAUGCUACAAUGGCCGGUACAAAGGGCUGCUAUUCCGCGAGGAUGAGCGAAUCCCAAAAAGCCGGUCUCAGUUCGGAUUGGAGUCUGCAACUCGACUCCAUGAAGUCGGAGUCGCUAGUAAUCCCGGAUCAGCAACGCCGGGGUGAAUACGUUCCCGGGCCUU